Molecule: long non-coding RNA, 198 nt
Organism: Syngnathus acus (greater pipefish)
Lineage: Eukaryota; Metazoa; Chordata; Actinopteri; Syngnathiformes; Syngnathidae
Exons: 3
Source: RefSeq, a predicted model, not a curated record
GCAAGCGUGAUUUUCUCCCGUUUUGGACGACUGUUCGAUUCAUGCCGCCAUUUCUGACGCUCAUAAAGGCCUCCCAGUCAGCACCCUUCUAUACAAAGCAAGCAGGAGGCUCCUGAGCCAUCUCAGUGAUGUUGAGGAUGCUGAGGAAGAGUAGUCCCAAAUCAGUGAGCAGGGUGACGCCGGUGAGAAGUCACACCA